UACGUAGGGUGCGAGCGUUGUCCGGAAUUAUUGGGCGUAAAGAGCUUGUAGGCGGUUUGUCGCGUCUGCCGUGAAAAUCCGGGGCUCAACCCCGGACUUGCGGUGGGUACGGGCAGACUAGAGUGUGGUAGGGGAGACUGGAAUUCCUGGUGUAGCGGUGAAAUGCGCAGAUAUCAGGAGGAACACCGGUGGCGAAGGCGGGUCUCUGGGCAACAACUGACGCUGAGGAGCGAAAGCGUGGGGAGCGAACAGG
RNAcentral lists this ribosomal RNA (253 nucleotides) under uncultured bacterium. RNAcentral's name for it is "partial 16S ribosomal RNA". It matches the Rfam family "Bacterial small subunit ribosomal RNA", at positions 524 to 776 of the family's 1533-position model. The record is from RNAcentral.